UUAGGGAGACCUACCCACUCAGCAGGAGUUGCGCAGUACGAAGAGUACGAGCGCAGGAUUUCUUGCAAGAGUUGGUUAUCCCAAGGUCGAGCAGGGAUGAGUGAAGCUGUCUUCCAAACUACACCAGGUUAACCAACAAGCAGCCAAUGUAUCUCUGGGAUAGAUUGUAGUUGUUUGAGAUGGGGUAAGUUCCGGCAAUUGAUCUAGCGAGGGAGUUAGACGGUUUGCUGGAUUAAGCUCCAGCGAAGCACCUUGAAAACUGCAUAGUAGAAGAAGUCAGGUAGAGAAGACUGAGCCUUGUUCAUUGUACUGAGCGAGGGCAACGAAGAUUCGGAAGGGUCAAGUUGUACCGAGUGAGGGAGUGGUGAAGGAGGAGCAGUUCAGGAAACAGACAUUCAAGAGAGAA
RNAcentral lists this unclassified non-coding RNA (406 nucleotides) under Trichotorquatus ladouxae WJT36-NPBG11. RNAcentral describes it as "16S-23S ribosomal RNA intergenic spacer". The record is from RNAcentral. Lineage: Bacteria; Bacillati; Cyanobacteriota; Cyanophyceae; Oculatellales; Oculatellaceae.